UACGUAGGGGGCAAGCGUUGUCCGGAUUUAUUGGGCGUAAAAGGCUUGUAGGUGGCCACGCCAAGUCGGAUGUGAAAUCUCCCGGCUCAACUGGGAGGGGUCAUUCGAUACUGGCGGGCUCGAGGCCGGUAGGGGGAAGUGGAAUUCCCGGUGUAGUGGUGAAAUGCGUAGAUAUCGGGAGGAACACCAGUGGCGAAGGCGACUUCCUGGCCUGUUCUUGACGCUGAGGCGCGAAAGCUAGGGGAGCAAACGGG
Molecule: ribosomal RNA, 254 nt
Filed under: uncultured bacterium
Lineage: Bacteria
Description: partial 16S ribosomal RNA
Rfam family: Bacterial small subunit ribosomal RNA
Source: RNAcentral